This 253-nucleotide ribosomal RNA is filed under the name uncultured bacterium. RNAcentral describes it as "partial 16S ribosomal RNA". It matches the Rfam family "Bacterial small subunit ribosomal RNA", at positions 524 to 776 of the family's 1533-position model. The record is from RNAcentral.
UACAGAGGUCCCGAGCGUUGUUCGGAUUCACUGGGCGUAGAGGGUGCGUAGGUGGUGAGGUAAGUCGGAUGUGAAAGCUCGGAGCUCAACUCCGAAAUGGCAUUGGAAACUACCUUGCUCGAGGGUUGGAGGGGGGACUGGAAUGCUUGGUGUAGCAGUGAAAUGCGUAGAUAUCAAGUGGAACACCAGUGGCGAAGGCGAGUCUCUGGACAUUUCCUGACGCUGAGGCACGAAAGCCAGGGGAGCAAACGGG